UCGAGAAUCUUCGGCAAUGGGCGCAAGCCUGACCGAGCGACGCCGCGUGGAGGAUGAAGGCCUUCGGGUUGUAAACUCCUGUCGAGGGGGAGGAAGGGGUAACCUUGACCUAUCCCUGGAGGAAGCACGGGCUAAGUUCGUGCCAGCAGCCGCGGUAAGACGAACCGUGCGAACGUUAUUCGGAAUCACUGGGCUUAAAGCGCGUGUAGGCGGAUGGGGACGUCGGUCGCUGAAAUCCCCCGGCUCAACCGGGGAACUGGCGCCGAAACGCCCCGUCUGGAGGGACGUAGGGGGACCUGGAACUUCCGGUGGAGCGGUGAAAUGCGUUGAGAUCGGAAGGAACGCCCGUGGCGAAAGCGAGGUCCUGGACGUUUUCUGACGCUGAGACGCGAAAGCUAGGGUAGCGAACGGGAUUAGAUACCCCUGUAGUCC
Molecule: ribosomal RNA, 432 nt
Filed under: uncultured bacterium
Lineage: Bacteria
Description: bacterial SSU rRNA
Rfam family: Bacterial small subunit ribosomal RNA
Source: RNAcentral